Molecule: ribosomal RNA, 1349 nt
Filed under: Priestia aryabhattai
Lineage: Bacteria; Bacillati; Bacillota; Bacilli; Caryophanales; Bacillaceae
Description: bacterial SSU rRNA
Rfam family: Bacterial small subunit ribosomal RNA
Source: RNAcentral
AGAGAGUUUGAUCCUGGCUCAGGAUGAACGCUGGCGGCGUGCCUAAUACAUGCAAGUCGAGCGAACUGAUUAGAAGCUUGCUUUAUGACGUUAGCGGCGGACGGGUGAGUAACACGUGGGCAACCUGCCUGUAAGACUGGGAUAACUUCGGGAAACCGAAGCUAAUACCGGAUAGGAUCUUCUCCUUCAUGGGAGAUGAUUGAAAGAUGGUUUCGGCUAUCACUUACAGAUGGGCCCGCGGUGCAUUAGCUAGUUGGUGAGGUAACGGCUCACCAAGGCAACGAUGCAUAGCCGACCUGAGAGGGUGAUCGGCCACACUGGGACUGAGACACGGCCCAGACUCCUACGGGAGGCAGCAGUAGGGAAUCUUCCGCAAUGGACGAAAGUCUGAGCGGAGCAACGCCGCGUGAGUGAUGAAGGCUUUCGGGUCGUAAAACUCUGUUGUUAGGGAAGAACAAGUACGAGAGUAACUGCUCGUACCUUGACGGUACCUAACCAGAAAGCCACGGCUAACUACGUGCCAGCAGCCGCGGUAAUACGUAGGUGGCAAGCGUUAUCCGGAAUUAUUGGGCGUAAAGCGCGCGCAGGCGGUUUCUUAAGUCUGAUGUGAAAGCCCACGGCUCAACCGUGGAGGGUCAUUGGAAACUGGGGAACUUGAGUGCAGAAGAGAAAAGCGGAAUUCCACGUGUAGCGGUGAAAUGCGUAGAGAUGUGGAGGAACACCAGUGGCGAAGGCGGCUUUUUGGUCUGUAACUGACGCUGAGGCGCGAAAGCGUGGGGAGCAAACAGGAUUAGAUACCCUGGUAGUCCACGCCGUAAACGAUGAGUGCUAAGUGUUAGAGGGUUUCCGCCCUUUAGUGCUGCAGCUAACGCAUUAAGCACUCCGCUCGGGGAGUACGGUCGCAAGACUGAAACUCAAAGGAAUUGACGGGGGCCCGCACAAGCGGUGGAGCACGUGGCUUAAUUCGAAGCAACGCGAAGAACCUUACCAGGUCUUGACAUCCUCUGACAACUCUAGAGAUAGAGCGUUCCCCUUCGGGGGACAGAGUGACAGGUGGUGCAUGGUUGUCGUCAGCUCGUGUCGUGAGAUGUUGGGUUAAGUCCCGCAACGAGCGCACCCCUUGAUCUUAGUUGCCAGCAUUUAGUUGGGCACUCUAAGGUGCCUGCCGGUCACACACCGGAGGAAGGUGGGGAUGACGUCAAAUCAUCAUCCCCCUUAUGACCUGGGCUACACACGUGCUACAAUGGAUGGUACAAAGGGCUGCAAGACCGCGAGGUCAAGCCAAUCCCAUAAAACCAUUCUCAGUUCGGAUUGUAGGCUGCAACUCGCCUACACGAAGCUCGAAUCGC